UACGUAGGGGGCAAGCGUUAUCCGGAUUUACUGGGUGUAAAGGGAGCGCAGGCGGUCUGGCAAGUCUGAUGUGAAAUCCCGGGGCUCAACUCCGGAAUUGCAUUGGAAACUGUCAGACUAGAGUGCCGGAGAGGUAAGUGGAAUUCCUAGUGUAGCGGUGAAAUGCGUAGAUAUUAGGAGGAACACCAGUGGCGAAGGCGGCUUACUGGACGGUAACUGACGCUGAGGCUCGAAAGCGUGGGGAGCAAACA
This 251-nucleotide ribosomal RNA is filed under the name uncultured bacterium. RNAcentral's name for it is "partial 16S ribosomal RNA". It matches the Rfam family "Bacterial small subunit ribosomal RNA", at positions 524 to 774 of the family's 1533-position model. The record is from RNAcentral.